AUAACGACUCUCGGCAACGGAUAUCUCGGCUCU
Molecule: ribosomal RNA, 33 nt
Filed under: Melaleuca orbifolia
Lineage: Eukaryota; Viridiplantae; Streptophyta; Magnoliopsida; Myrtales; Myrtaceae
Also listed under: 57 other names
Description: Beaufortia orbifolia partial 5.8S ribosomal RNA
Source: RNAcentral